CACGCUGCACAGCCACCAGUCUCUCAUUCAUCCUCUUAAAGCUGCGCAAACACACACACAGCUGCAGCAGCAGACUCUUCCCCCUUUCACCCUCAGCAAACUCACAAGCAUGAAACCCUAAUCCUUCCCAACCCAACCGCCGUACUCAACCUGUUUCCCUUCCUCCUUCCAUUCACACAAACGCAACACAAUCAGGAGCAACAGCAACGCUGCAAUGAGAAAGAAGAGAAACUGAAAGGGAGGUCUAAGAGACGAAGGGCUCAGAGGGGAGGGAGACGCCAUCCUCCCUGUCGCCAGAACUGCGAGGAGCGUCGCCGCCAAAGACGUGUCGUCGUUCCUGCCCAGUCGUGGUUCUGCCAUCCAUCACCUCGUUCCGUCACCUGAAGAGAACUGCGAUGACGAGAGGGAGAGCUCGUGCACGAAGGGAGCGCGAGAAGGAAGGAAGGUCACGUGAGGAGGAGCGCAAACCACCGCGCGGAGCUGCGCCGCUGUGUGCUGUCACCGUUGCGUCAGACUGUUGCCGCUGUCGAGCUUCGAGGAGAGAGAAGGAGGUUGCGUGGAAGAUGAAGCGCGAUGGUGGUAAGAGGUUCUGCCACCCCUCUGCUGUUGCUGAGCUGCCGCCGUCGCUGUGAAGGCUCCGCCACUGCCCUGUUGCUGCUGGGGAGAAGGAGACCGGAAUGGGUAAGUAGGAGGGGUUUCUGCCACCGUUGGAGCUCAGUUGCCGUUGUUGUAAUGGCCGCCGCGCCUUUGGCUGCCGGGAGCAGUAUCGUGGCCGCCAGAACCAGUCUUUCUUGGGUUGAGUCCCGAUAUUUGCGCUUCGGAAUUAAAGCUGCUGUUGGGCCACCGGAGCUUCUGGCCGCUCACGGAUCUUUUGUCGGGGCAAUUCGAAGUCGUAGCUGCUUCGCUUGUUAGUAUAGUUUGAGUUCCGGUGAUUUCAUGUCGCAUAAGUGUUGCGGAGGCUGCCGUGUCAUUCCUUUUAUUUCAGAAGUAGUAGCUGAGCUUAUACGUGGCGCUGAGGCUGUUUCUUAUAUUGAGAAAAACACGCGGAGUCGGGAUUUUGAUUGUGAUUUCGAGCUGAGGCGAAAAGGACUCUGAGAGACAUUUGGGUUAUGGAAUUUGUAUUUUUAGGAUAUGGCGCCGAUGUUACGAAGAGUUCAUUUAGUUGUUGUUGAGAUGCUCUGUAUUUGCUUUAGUAUAUUUUUGUUCCCUCGCCUUUAUCUUGAUACAUUCUGUAAGAGGGAUAGGAAUUGUAUUGG
This is a non-coding RNA of Arachis ipaensis, 1256 nucleotides long. Lineage: Eukaryota; Viridiplantae; Streptophyta; Magnoliopsida; Fabales; Fabaceae. The record is from RefSeq and is a predicted model, not a curated record.